This 263-nucleotide ribosomal RNA is filed under the name uncultured bacterium. Its description in RNAcentral is "partial 16S ribosomal RNA". It matches the Rfam family "Bacterial small subunit ribosomal RNA", at positions 793 to 1055 of the family's 1533-position model. The record is from RNAcentral.
GUCCUAGCCCUAAACGAUCAUGACUUGGGGUGCAUCCCGUUGGGGUGCGUCCCGUAGCUAACGCGUUAAGUCCUGCGCCUGGGGAGUACGGUCGCAAGACUGAAACUCAAAGGAAUUGACGGGGGCCCGCACAAGCGGUGGAACAUGUGGUUCAAUUCGACGCAACGCGAAGAACCUUACCUGGGCUUGAACCGCUACUGACCAGCGGUAGAAAUAUCGCCUUCUCGCAAGAGACAGUAGUAGAGGUGCUGCAUGGCUGUCGU